Long non-coding RNA from Haplochromis burtoni (Burton's mouthbrooder), 9801 nucleotides. RefSeq lists it as uncharacterized. The transcript has 7 exons. Lineage: Eukaryota; Metazoa; Chordata; Actinopteri; Cichliformes; Cichlidae. The record is from RefSeq and is a predicted model, not a curated record.
CUGAACAGCGCUCGCCCUGUUUUCACUCUCGUGUAAACCCUGUGUAAACCGCAGGUUUUUAACCACCACUGUGACUCCUUAUUAGCGAACCUAUAUAUGCAGGCGAGAAUAAGAUUUGGGGCGCCAAGACAUGUGAUCAUUAGCAGCCCCAGAAGUAAAAAUUAUGCUUCCGAAAUCUCUUGAUGGCGAUUCCGCAAAAGAAGUGGAGACCCCACCUCUUCUGUGCCAAACAUGGCAGAAGCCCUUUUUACCAAUACGCCGGACAUCUUGCGACCUGACCAGAGGUAACCUGUUCUUCACUCAGGGUUCAUGAUGUAUAAACCUCAAGUCGGCACAGAAAAGUUUCACAAUAUUUUGUAUAACUAAACACGGCUAAUCAGCCCUUUAUCUUUCAUGUAUAUAUUUAUAUAGUCAGCGGGAAUAAAAACUUGACCGUAUUUGGCUAUUUAGUUUUGGACACCGAAAAGCAUGAUGGGUAAAGAGGGCGGGGCAAUUGACAUUGAAUGCUGCCAUUGGAUGCUACAUGCACUCGAAUUAAUGUUGCAUUUAGGCAAUGUGGGAAAGUCGAUUACGUGGUUACAAUCGUAAUCGUGAGAUUCUGUGAGAUUCUUUAAGAGCGAUUACAGAAUCUUGACAGUUUUUCGACCUCUCCCUGAGCCUUACAUAGAUUACCGAAUUUAAUUGAAAAAUAAAACUUUGUUAUAUUUAAUUUUAUUAUAUACUGUUUACGCUGAAUUAAAAGUGAAUUACACAUCAAUAGAAAGAUCAUAAUACUGUGGUGUGUGUGUGCGGUGUUCGUGUUCUCUGUUGCUCAGAUUCCCAGGCACAACUUGAGGACAUUUACUAAGUUAUCUGAAUAGUAGCAUUUACGAUCAUAUACAUUUAAGUAUUGCAAUGAUCUUUUAUGAUGUUCUCAUAGCUGAAGAAAAUCAGUAAUAUUCUGAAGCUGACCUAGUGUAAUACAGGUCCUAAUUCUUGGUUUGGAUCGACCUCACCAACAACAUUUGUCCAAAUUUUUACCCUAACUACCAUAAAUCAAUCAAAUCCAAGCAACGAUUAUGUUUCUUAAAUCUGUCAGAAGAGGGCGCCAAAUCUUUGUUAAGAAGACCAUCCAGUCCAAACAAUAUUCAACGUACAUCUAUUUAUUCAUUUAAUAACCAAUAUCCCUUAUACAUAACAUAAAAAUAAAUAACAUUUAUUCAGUAAUACUGUGGAACAUGACCAUCGGGGGAUCAGAAGCUGUACUGUUGAUGUUACAUGGUAGAGAAACCCUACCUGUGAUUAUUUUGAUCAGUUCACUGGAUAUGACACUAUUAAUUACAUGGGUGAUUUGUUUCUUUUUUCUUUCUUUUUUUUAAAUGUUCUUAUUUGUUUUCUUUCUAAGACUGAUGAGAGAUAAUUGGUAUCAAUAGCUGCUUUUCCACAACAGGAACAACAGUGACUAUGACCUUUGGAUGGACUCGCUAUGUUGUCAAAGUAAGGAAAAGGGAAGAAUUAUUUGACCGACCAAAAAGUCCACACACAGAGACAUGUCAAAAGCUUUGGUAGUACUUUUCAAAGUUUCAGUGGGCUACAAGGGGGUCGGGCUUUUAGAGCAGGACAUUUCUGAUUGGUUAAAUAGAAUAUUUGGAGCAUAUCAUGCUGUUAAUCACCUCUGGCUCCUCUUGGCAAUAGAUGUUUGUUUAUUAUGUUCCACGGAAAUAGUUGGUUACUGAUUCUAAAGCCCAGUUUGAGGGACGAGAGAGAGAAAGCAGCAGUGGUUAAGUCAGUUAGAAAAAAAAGUGUAUACUGGAGAAAAAAAGGUUAUUUUCUUUUUACCUUUUCUUUCUACAGGUGUUAAAGUCUAAAGCACAGAUAUACACAUUCUCUGUGGUCAGUAAAGAGAUAGUACUGCCAUGCUGUUAGCUCAAAAAGGUACUCUUUAUAUUGUAUUCCAAAAAGCUGCUCACAAACUAAAAUAUACAAAUGUUAGGUUUUGGCUUGAUUGACCAAAAAAUAGUUCCAGAACGAUAACUCCACUUACAUAUACAAACUGAAACAUUUACAUAUUGGUGAACUUUAUGAAGCUAAAUUAUUGGGCCAGAAUUGAAUAAUGAUCUUCUACUAUUUAUGUUCCUAUAUAGAAAAAUUAAACAGAAUUUUGGUGAUAUGUUUAAAACAUAAAAAUAAUUUGUGGAAAGUAAACAGGAGUUAAACAGCACAGCCAAGGGUAUGCACAGUUUGUAAAGCAAGACAAACUAGUAACACAGGUUUUGAUAAACUGAAUAGAGCUACCGUUUUCCUUUUUGCAUUAAAAAAGAUGCUAGAAUAGCUUUGGAUUUCAGUUUAUUAUAUCAUACAAAUAAUGCUGAAGCUGAAUCCAAGUGUAAUAUAGUAAAAAGUGAUACUAAACCAAUAAACUAGUGAUGCUUAAGGAACGAUAGGAAGUAUGUUUUUUACAGCAAAGCUACAUUUAAAUCAUACGUUCAACAAAACUGGUAGAAUGAAAUAUAUCUAUUUGAAGAUAGAAUAAUUAAAGAUUAUUUGUCUACAUGUGUAUCCCCUGGAACACGUUAGGUUGGCACCAAAAGUCCAAUAUUUAAAUCAUUUUUCGGGGUUUGGAAAAAGUCAAAGACAAAAAUUAAGAUUUUGUAAACUAAGUGCGUGUUUGCUACACGAUUCAGCUUAAUGUCUUCAAACUAUGAAGUCUGUUUGCUCAGAAGUGUUCGCUGCUUGGUGUUUUUGCAGUUCAUUUGUUGAAAUAAGUCAGAUGGAGGCAGUCCUUAUCCUAAGCUAUGCUAACUGCCUCCUGACUCCAGAACACUAGAAGAUAAUGUCGCAUCAGUCUUGUCAUCUCACUGGGAAAGAGAGAUUGGAAAGAAAGCAAAUAAGAAUGUUUCCACAAAUUGUUUUCAAAGAACACAGAGAGAAGCUAGAGUUGGACUGAAAGUUAGUCAUUCACCUUCAUUGUAGUAAUAUUACUACUUACAGUCACUGCAGAUGUAUUGGUAUAGCUUGUAAGAUUACAAAUAAGAUGGAAAUGAAUCAUAUUUUUUGUGCUGUUGUUGAUUGAUGUAUAUAUAAGUUUUCAAUUGGUCUUUUUAUCCCAUAGAUUCAAUCUUUCAAAAUAAUACUUCUUCCUGUCUUUCCAGUGUUUUCCUCCCGACUACAUGAGUCUGUAGUCGUCAGUAACGCUCACAGCACAGUGCUAACACACAGUAUCAUACAAUACAAUGUAACCCUUAGAGGCAAAAGUGAGAAAGGUAGUUGUACAGACUGGUUGGUUUUCAUUCAGCACGUUUUCAAGGCUUGCCACCCCAACACUGUAUUCCUCACCUAUACCAAGAACUCAAAAUGAUAACAUUUGAUUGUCAAACAAACACAGACUUUCACCAGAGGGAAAAAUGCAGUUUGAAUUAGUGCAAAACAAUAAAUGAAAAAUGAAAAGGGAUUGCAGAAAUGAGUUAGAAUACAUUCCUUGUCAAAUACUAAGCUGCAACCACAUGAUGUACAUUUUAUUAACUGGUUCAGACAAAUGAAAAAAAAGUGUCAGACUGGUCACAUGAAUGCUAAGUAAAAACAUUAGAAUGCAUAUUUUCUUACUGUUUACAGUGUAGUGUGUGUUGUAGAAGCCCCAGGGAAAGCAAACUGUACGCAACAAGAUUCAGGCUUGCAAGCAGCAAAUUAUUAGCCUCUAGAGCCUUAAAGGAAUUCAUGAUCCUCUUUGUUAAAGGUAUUCACUGCAGGUUUUGGAAGUCAUGUGUGCAGACACCCAAUCAUUCUCCAUUACAGCUGAAUAAAAUCUACAGUACAUUAGUUAGUUAACAAACAAUGUGAGCAAGAUUAACUUGCACUUCUUAACUAUAUAUAGGUUGGUAAAAUUUCUGCUUUUGAACACUGAUAAAAGGGAUUUCUUCUGUUAUACUUAUAUAACAGGUCUAAAAUACAAUAGCCUACUACUGUAGCCCUUAAAAAAAACAAAAAACAUUUAAUAUUCUUUAGGAUUUUGCUGAAAAGAUACUGAUAUGUGGGGGCCAAAGAGGCAAACUAGGCUAACUCAGCAUGAAGACUGGAAGCAGGAGUGACAGCUAUCACAAUAGCUAGCGAUACUAGCGCCUCUAAAAUGCACAGCUUAUGGAAGAUAAGCUGUGCAUUUUUGAAUCUGUGGUUUAAAAAAGUCUAAAUCAUUUUUCUUAUUAAUAAUUCAGCAGGGAUUCUGGAGAGAGUUUUUGAGUGUCUCCAGCCAGCAAAGAAAAACUAAAGUCACAACAAAGAUUUUAUCACAUUUGUUAGCUAACAAGGGAUUUUAGUGACUUUGGGUGUAGGUAUAAUGCAGCUCCGAACUGUUGUUUUAGAAUUACAUUUAUGUGCGUAAAAUCAGCGUGAGAAAAUUAAUAAUGGGAAAUUCCUUUGUCACAUUUAUAUAACAGGUCUAAAAACAUCAUAAAAACACAAUAACAACAGAACACUUACAUUAGUGACUUUGGAAAACAGUUGCGUAUUAACAACUUAACUGGUUGAGUGCCUCCAGCUGUUGAAGAGUAAUAGAUAAACUUGGUAACUACAGGUUUUAGUGGCUUUUCAGACAUGGUUUAAACAAGAAAGUGCCAGUUUAGGGAACCAGUAGGCAAGUGAUACAGGUACAGGAAAAAUACACAAAAACCCUUUUAGUUGGUGUUCAGAGGGAGGGGUUAUAAGUUGUUAAUUGCAAUUUUGUCUGUUACAUUUUUUGACAACUGUAACUGUGUUUUAUAAAGCUGUCCAGAACAAAAACAGACAACAAAUGCUCCCUUUGUUUGAUUCUGUUUUGAUCCAGCCACAGAACAUUACCAAGGGCCACCACUGUCCCACAGGCCGCACUUUGGCAACCAUGAAUGUAAACAUAAAAUUAAUUUGCUUAAACAUGUUACUACUCUCAAUUCUUUAUGCUAAGCUAAGAUGGAGCUUUUCUCUAAUUCUCUAAGCACUUUUAAGGCCCUACAAAGAAUUUUAUCAGGUUCAUUUGUACAGCAAAAAGAAAAUGAAAGCAAAAAAGGCAGAAAAUGCAGCUAAAUCCUUUGUCAUGGUUUCAUGACAUGACAUUUGUUGGGCUGAUGGCCCGGAUAAGCUGAAUUAAAGCCAGUUUAGAGGCCUGCAAUAAACAUAUCAAAGCUCAUUAGGUUUUGCUGUGCAUAUCAUCUAUGUCUAUAUCAAUGGGGCAUAUUUAGACCUUAAACUUCCUUUUCUCACAUUGCCACUUACUGCUAUUGUGAAUGUUGUAUGUUACACUUAGUCUAAUUACAAUAAUCUAUGUUUAUGUAUACACUUUUACUACAAAUAAUCUCUACUUUUUUACAAAAAAAAAACCAUUAUUAAUCUAUUCACAGAAUGGUCAAAGGUCAAUUUGGCAUAAGUGCACACACAGCUUACAGUAGCAGGAGGAGCACAUUGAUUUAAUAUGGUGACACUUAUUGCAGAGUGCACUGUUCACACUAUGAAUUAAAUAGCUUUCAGUCACCUUUAGCUCUCAUCUUUAUAGAUUUAACUAUUAUUUACAAUGUUACAGCCACUUAAGACUGCAGGCAAAGCAUUGCACAAACUUUUGACAAGUAGAAACCCAUAAUAGUACCAUAUGAAAUGUGGAUGAUGCCAGACCAUAAUAGUCCAUUUGUACUUUCGUAUGCUCAGUAGUCCUUUAGCUCCAUUGCUAUGAAAAGGAGUACUGGCUACACUUUAAGCAACAACACCUGAUCACAUUGGCAUGCUUUCUUUUUUUUUUCUUGAGCAAGAUGAGGCUCAAAACAGCUCGACUCAUGCUACAUCAUAUCAAAUUAACAAUACAAUACUUUCCCAACAGGUACACAUUGGUAUUUACUCUCGCAUCCUGAUUGAAAAUAAUCCCAGUGGUCUGAAAAAUCAACACAGAAAGGUCACAAAACACAAGGUGAGGAAGUGAUGGAUGGUGAUAUCACAGGGUGCUAAGCCUCAGUGAUUUGGUUUUGAUGAUCGGCUGUGAGACAAAGUGAGCUCUUGGUGUGAUAGGGUAGUGUUGGAACACAUAGACUUCUCAGUCAGCAGUGGCAGCUUUUUUCAGCUGAUGGAGGGGCCAACUCUUCAUCCUCUGCAGAGUAGAGAACCUUGGCAGUCAGGCCGCUCUUCACGCCAUCCCACCCAUCACGGGUGACGAUCUCCCCCAUCUUCAUCAGCUCGUAGAUGUCCCUGGUCAGCAGCUCAAAGGCCCGGUCCACAUUGCUGUUGCACUUGGCCGAUGUCUCCACAUAGCGAAUGCCCAGCUCAGCGGCCAGCUGCUCUGCCUCAUCCCUGCUCACCUUCCGGUCCUUGUUGAGAUCACUUUUAUGGCCGAUGAGGAUGUAGACCAUGUGGUGAGGCAGGAUGUGCUCACUCACCUCCUUGUGCCAUUCCCUCACAUGGUCGAAGGUUUUACGAUUGGUGAGAUCAAAGACAAGCAGGCCACCUACAGAGUUGCGGUAAUAUGAUGUUGUGAUAGACCUGGUGGAAAGACACAUUACUGGUGUUAGAAACCAAAGACAAACAUCUCUAGACUUAUAACUUCUAAAUGUCUUGGACAGCUCUAUGAACUUGGAUGGUUCUUACCAGUUCACUACCCUUAUACUGCUGUUUGUAACAUCACAAUAUGAGUUUAAUUUUUGUGGUGGAAAAUUCAUAUCACUUGAGGUAAGUCCAAGUCCUCUCUGCCAAAGCAAGUCAAGUCAAACCCUGAGUCAAGUCAAGUCUUUGAAGAAAAGGGGUGGCUGUAGCUCAGGAGGUAGAGCAGGUCUUCCAGUCUCCAUGUCAAAGUAUUGUUGAGCAAGAUACUGUACCCAACUUGCCUGAUGCGUUUUUCGGUGUGUGAGUGUGUUUAGGUGAAUGGGACAUGUAUAAAAAAGUGCUUUGAGUGCUCAGUUACAAUAGAAAAGUAGUCAUAGUUCCCGUUAAUCAGUUUAUAGAAAACAAACUUAAAUAUUAUAGCCAAAGUGAAGCUCAAAUGUCAAGACAGCGGAAACUAAGAUAAGAUCAAGUCCCAUUUGACACAAUCCCAAAUCAAUUUUCACACUGUUUUCCAAGUCAGUCAAGGAAUGUGGUUGCAUGCUCUCUUUUAAGUCUUUCAACUGUCUAUUUGCAAGCUAACCACUUAAAUGACAUAAGAAUUUCCUUUCAAAGCUGUGUUACUGGUGUUUUACAUUAGUAAGACUCAUGGAGUUACAUCUGUGCUUUAGCUGGCCUUGCCAUUCAGAUGAAACUACUUAUUGAGACAGUGUGCUCAAUAUGAGGGGAGUUAAAUAUGUUAAAACUGAAGCAUACUUAAUAAAUUGUGUAAAUUGUGUACUUAAGUGAAUUGUGUCAGGACCUCAUUUAUGAUGGUAAUAUAUCACUGAAUGGCAUAAUACAUAAUUUGAUAAUAAAUUUGGACCUCACCCAACAUUUGGGACUUUUUUGUGGUCAAAGUCUGAAAUGUACAGGUCUAAUAAAUAUAUCCAAGUCAUAUUGCUAUGGAAGGUCUGUCUCUCUUGGCUUCUUAAAACAAUUUUUGUAAUUUUAUGAAGUCAAAACUUGCAAUGCGAAUGCUUUUUUUUAACGUUUCAUACAUUAAUAUGCUUAAUUAAAUGGAAACUAAACAAUGCCAUCAAGUGAAAUAAAAUACAAAAACACAAAGGAUCCUUUGGGUCAUAACAUCUGGUGCAUGAUACUAUUCUAUUUAUGAAAAUAUAUGCACAUACAGACUCUGAUCUCUGCAUUUGAUGCUUUAAAAACCACAGAUUCUACAGCCAGAUAGGCAGAAGUGAAAGACAAGUGAAGUGAAGCCUGGAGGAAAACACCCUCAGAGGCUUCAAAAGGGAAAGCAGAUCUAAGAGCUUCUCCAGACACAGGAGUUCUUUAAAGAAAAUGAUCCGUGACAGUGGGCAUGAAAAGCAGAGCAAGCAACAGGAUAGAUGAAUGAAAACAACAACAAAUAGAUUUGGAUCGGGACUUGUCAUCCCCGCGAAGGCCUGGAAAUUGUAUAUGAGGGAAUCAAACUGGGGCCUAAAUAUGAGGAGGCUGCCCAUCAUCCAUGAAAGCAUGAUGUAAGUCGCCGUGUCCUGUUGUUAUACAGGUCAGGACAUCGUAAUAUCUUCUAUUGGCCUCCUUUCUCCGCUGUCUAAACUCAUUUCAUUGCAUGCUAACUAGACGGGAAAAUGGCCCAUAUUCAAUUUAAAGGGACUGAGAAUAGUAGCCAAACACGACAUUAAACCGAGGGCUCGCAAUUAUUUAUUUAAAAAUCUCUUUGAAGGACUAUGGUUGUAUACAUAUUUAGCUCAGAUAGAUUCUAUAUAAGAUACAUUUCACCUCACUAUACCUGAAUCGUUCUUGGCCAGCCGUAUCCCAGAGCUGGAGCUUUAUUUUCACCCCGGGUUCGAUGUCAAGCGAGCGGGCAUAAAAAUCUACUCCGACCGUCGGGUCCGCCACAUCGCUGUAAAUUCCAUCCGUGAAACGCUUCAACAGCGAGGACUUGCCCACUGUGGAAUCCCCGAGUAGAAUGAUUCGAAACUGAUAUUGCCACAAAAUAUCCAUGGCAUGACUAGAGGGAAGAUACCUGCGGAGUGAGUGUGUGUGAAACAAAGCCCUGCGCGCAGCGUGUUUACAUGGAGCCCCAGCUGCUGCUACUGCCUUCUGUUCAGGAAGAGACGCGGAGCACAGAGCGGCCGCAGCAGUCAUGUGAUAGAUUUACCUAUGCUCUACUAGUCGAAUAUCACUCCAAUAAACCCGCUACAACCUCAUCUGGCCUGUGUAUGUUGUAAAAGAAUCUUAUAGGGGGUUUAAAAGCAGCAAAAACAGAACAAUAUAUCUAUAUGAGGUCCGUCUUGGGCAUGUUUUGCACAGUUUCCUUAACCACCCCCAUUUAUUUAAUAUAUCGUCCACUAUUGAUAUCACAAAACCUAAAACACGCAGUGUGUUGCUGUCCGUGGUUCUGAAGUAGCCUAUAUUCACUUCCAACGAUGGUCUGGAUUUACAGCAUAUUUCUCUAAUUGCACACAGUUUAUUCUGUGCCGUUGUACUCUGUGAAAAAUGCGUGGCUCUUUAAGUGUAAAACUCUAUUGCCCGAGUCUCAGUAAACUUCAAUAAAUACAGCAGGCAUUGCUUAAAAAAACAGAAGAAGAAGGAGGAGUGUGAUACUACAUAUCCCACUAUUCAACCGGUCCGCGUGAGUAAUGCGAGCCAAUCAGCGCACCGCUGCCGGACAUCAGAGUGAGUAUAUAAGAACAGCGGGCCUUACCGCUUUCUCUCUUCCUCCUGCAGUCUUCCAUGUGAGCUGAAGUCCUCAGGAAAGAGCUAUGGGUCUAUUUGAAAUGGCAGUUCAACCUUGUUUCCCAAUAUGCAGAAUGCAGGUACUGGGUGACACCAAAGGUGCAAGGCCAAAACCAUCAAAUGAGAACACAACAUGCAGGUGAAUGGAGACCUGUCAUUUGUAAAAGAGAACUGCUCAUUCAGGAGUCUAUCCGCGUGACCUCUUGGUGUUGCAGAGCUGUAACAAAGUGCAUUCACAUCUGUAAUUUACAGGUAUGGUGCUACGUUGGGAGUGACGUGACAUUUCCAUGAGAGAAUUGCUGCCAACUUUCCGGCUAGGUACAAACACUACUGAAGAAAACCAACUUGGAUCGGAGCUUUCUUGCAGCUGUGAAAUGCAUGAAUGAGUUGACCUGGCUCUUUAACCUCCUAAGACCUGAACUCUUCCAUGGCAUGAAUUUUUUUUUUUUUUUUUUUAAAUGGUCUAAAUAAGCCAAAAAUGUGACAUCCACAGAUGUGGAUGCCAGGUCGUAGGAGGUUAAGGGGCUGAACCUAAGA